CACGGAGUUAGCCGGGGCUUAUUCUCCCGGUACUGUCAUUAUCAUCCCGGGUAAAAGAGCUUUACAACCCUAGGGCCUUCAUCACUCACGCGGCAUUGCUGGAUCAGGGUUUCCCCCAUUGUCCAAUAUUCCCCACUGCUGCCUCCCGUAGGAGUCUGGGCCGUGUCUCAGUCCCAGUGUGGCUGAUCAUCCUCUCAGACCAGCUAAGGAUCGUCGCCUUGGUAGGCCUUUACCCCACCAACUAGCUAAUCCUACGCGGGCUCAUCCAAAGGCGAUAAAUCUUUGGUCUUGCGACAUCAUACGGUAUUAGCACCCCUUUCGGAGAGUUAUUCCGUACCUUUGGGCAGAUUCCCACGCGUUACGCACCCGUGCGCCACUAGAUCCGAAGAUCUCGUUCGACUUGCAUGUGUUAGGCAUGCCGCCAGCGUUCGUUCUGAGCCAGGAUCAAACUC
RNAcentral lists this ribosomal RNA (452 nucleotides) under uncultured Sphingomonadaceae bacterium. Its description in RNAcentral is "partial 16S ribosomal RNA". The record is from RNAcentral. Lineage: Bacteria; Pseudomonadati; Pseudomonadota; Alphaproteobacteria; Sphingomonadales; Sphingomonadaceae.